Molecule: long non-coding RNA, 716 nt
Organism: Oncorhynchus keta (chum salmon)
Lineage: Eukaryota; Metazoa; Chordata; Actinopteri; Salmoniformes; Salmonidae
Exons: 3
Source: RefSeq, a predicted model, not a curated record
GGUAACCCAAAAAUUAAAAUAUGGUUGUAAAUGCAUUUACCGGUCAUUCUGAUAUUAAUGCUCGCUAUGGGAACACAGGAUGGCCGGGCAGUGAUAGUUGUACAUUUCCAUCACUCGUUGUGUUGAUUUCAUCAUGUCCAUUAGGUGAUGUUUUUACACUAUAGAAUCAUAUUGCAAGUGCGCGCGCAUUUGCAAUAUGUUUCAAUGUGCAUUUACUAUAUGAAAUUUGACAUGCUCAAAAAUGCAAAAUUGACUGGUCUGAUGGACACAGGAUGGCCGAGCAGUGAUAGUUGUACAUUUCCAUCACUCGUUGUGUUGAUUUCAUCAUGUCCAUUAGGUGAUGUUUUUUCACUAUAGAAUCAUAUUGCAAGUGCGCGCGCAUUUGCAAUAUGUUUCAAUGUGCAUUUACCAUAUGAAAUUUGACAUGCUCAAAAAUGCAAAAUUGACUGGUCUGAUGAACACAGGAUGGCUGAGCAGUGAUAGUUGUACAUUUCCAUCACCUGUUGUGUUGAUUUCAUCAUGUCCAUUUGUUUAUGUUUUCUCACUUUUGCAAAGUCACUGUGCAUUUGCAAUAUGGUUCAAUGGGCAGGUACCAUCACGAAUUUGUCAUGCUAUAAAAAUCCUGCAGGAAUGUGAAAUUGACUGGUCUGAUGAACACAGGAUGGCCGAGCAGUGAUAGUUGUACAUUUCCAUCACUUGUUGUGUUGAUUUCAUCA